Molecule: ribosomal RNA, 253 nt
Filed under: uncultured bacterium
Lineage: Bacteria
Description: partial 16S ribosomal RNA
Rfam family: Bacterial small subunit ribosomal RNA
Source: RNAcentral
UACGGAGGGUGCAAGCGUUAUCCGGAUUCACUGGGUUUAAAGGGUGCGUAGGAGGGCAGGGAAGUCCGUGGUGAAAUCCUAGAGCUUAACUCUAGAACUGCCGUGGAUACUCUCUGUCUUGAAUCCCGUGGAGAUGAGCGGAAUAUGUCAUGUAGCGGUGAAAUGCUUAGAUAUGACAUAGAACACCAAUUGCGAAGGCAGCUCGUUACACGAAGAUUGACUCUGAGGCACGAAAGCGUGGGGAUCAAACAGG